This 776-nucleotide ribosomal RNA is filed under the name Sordariomycetes sp. genotype 72. RNAcentral describes it as "eukaryotic LSU rRNA". The stretch from base 207 to 776 matches the Rfam family "Eukaryotic large subunit ribosomal RNA", at positions 1 to 583 of the family's 3401-position model. The record is from RNAcentral. Lineage: Eukaryota; Fungi; Ascomycota; Sordariomycetes.
CGCACAUUGCGCUCGCCAGUAUUCUGGCGAGCAUGCCUGUUCGAGCGUCAUUUCAACCAUCAAGCUCUGCUUGCGUUGGGGAUCCGCGGCUGCCCGCGGUCCCUCAAAAACAGUGGCGGGCUCGCUAGUCACACCGAGCGUAGUAACUCUACAUCGUUCUGGUCGUGCGGCGGGUUCUUGCCGUAAAACCCCCCAAUUUCUAAGGUUGACCUCGGAUCAGGUAGGAAUACCCGCUGAACUUAAGCAUAUCAAUAAGCGGAGGAAAAGAAACCAACAGGGAUUGCCCUAGUAACGGCGAGUGAAGCGGCAACAGCUCAAAUUUGAAAUCUGGCUUCGGCCCGAGUUGUAAUUUGUAGAGGAAGCUUUUGGUGAGGCACCUUCUGAGUCCCCUGGAACGGGGCGCCAUAGAGGGUGAGAGCCCCGUAUAGUCGGAUGCCGAUCCAAUGUAAAGCUCCUUCGACGAGUCGAGUAGUUUGGGAAUGCUGCUCAAAAUGGGAGGUAAAUUUCUUCUAAAGCUAAAUAUAGGCCAGAGACCGAUAGCGCACAAGUAGAGUGAUCGAAAGAUGAAAAGCACUUUGAAAAGAGGGUUAAAUAGCACGUGAAAUUGUUGAAAGGGAAGCGUUUUUGACCAGACUUGCGCCGUUCCGAUCAUCCGGUGUUCUCACCGGUGCACUCGGGACGGCUCAGGCCAGCAUCGGUUUUGGUGGGGGGAUAAAGGUCCGGGGAACGUAGCUCCUUCGGGAGUGUUAUAGCCCCGGGCGUAAUGCCCUCGCCGG